GUUAUAUGGUCAAGUGAUUAAGCGCAUAUGGUGGAUGCCUAGGCGGUAGAAGGCGAUGAAGGACGUUGUAGCUUGCGAUAAGCUUCGGGGAGCCAGCAAACAGGCUUUGAACCGGAGAUCUCCGAAUGGGAAAACCCACCUGUCGUAAGGCAGGUAUCUUGCACUGAAUCCAUAGGUGUAAGAGGCAAACCCGGGGAACUGAAACAUCUAAGUACCCGGAGGAAAAGAAAUCAACCGAGAUUCCCUCAGUAGCGGCGAGCGAAAGGGGAUUAGCCCUUAAGUUGCGAUGUGGUUAGUGGAACAGUCUGGAAAGUCUGGCGAUACAGGGUGAUAGCCCCGUACACGAAAACCUAUUCGCAGUGAAAUCGAGUAAGGCGGGACACGUGAUAUCCUGCUUGAACAUGGGGGGACCAUCCUCCAAGGCUAAAUACUCUCUACCGACCGAUAGUGAACCAGUACCGUGAGGGAAAGGCGAAAAGAACCCCGUAGAGGGGAGUGAAAUAGAACCUGAAACCGUAUGCGUACAAGCAGUGGGAGCCCCUUCGGGGGUGACUGCGUACCUUUUGUAUAAUGGGUCAGCGACUUACUUCUCAGUGGCAAGCUUAACCGUUUAGGGGAGGCGUAGGGAAACCGAGUCUUAAUAGGGCGUUCAGUCGUUGGGAGUAGACCCGAAACCGGGCGAUCUAGCCAUGGCCAGGGUGAAGGCACGGUAACACGCGCUGGAGGCCCGAACCCACCUAUGUUGAAAAAUGGGGGGAUGAGCUGUGGCUAGGAGUGAAAGGCUAAUCAAGCCCGGAGAUAGCUGGUUCUCCUCGAAAGCUAUUUAGGUAGCGCCUCGCGUCUCACUCCAUGGGGUAGAGCACUGUUUCGGCUAGGGGGCCAUCCCGGCUUACCAAACCGAUGCAAACUCCGAAUACGUGGAAGUGUAAUCGCGGGAGACACACGGCGGGUGCUAACGUCCGUCGUGGAAAGGGAAACAACCCAGACCGCCAGCUAAGGUCCCAAAAUCAUGGCUCAGUGGGAAACGAUGUGGGAAGGCAUAGACAGCUAGGAGGUUGGCUUAGAAGCAGCCAUCCUUUAAAGAAAGCGUAAUAGCUCACUAGUCGAGUCGGCCUGCGC
This 1119-nucleotide ribosomal RNA is filed under the name gamma proteobacterium symbiont of Ctena orbiculata. RNAcentral's name for it is "bacterial LSU rRNA". It matches the Rfam family "Bacterial large subunit ribosomal RNA", at positions 1 to 1164 of the family's 2925-position model. Lineage: Bacteria; Pseudomonadati; Pseudomonadota; Gammaproteobacteria. The record is from RNAcentral.